GAUUGUUCUCGACCGGUUACAGUGAUUCGAUUACAUCGAAAAGUUACAAUCACUUUAUUGACAUUUGAUAUCCCGGGAUAGAGAUGGGGUUGGAUCCAAUAACUAUUAGGUGAGGAUCCCAAUGAUGGCUUUGUGCCCGCUGGUGAAUGAUGGAUCUGAUUUAACUAAGAAAUGUGUCAAUAACUAUUAGGUGAGGUCACAGGACUUAGAGACCAAGCCGCUGCAUCUUGCUUAGUAAAGUAAUAGACAAGGUGUUGUCCACUAUUGAUUUAUGCUCAUUAAUAAUUGUUAGGUG
RNAcentral lists this long non-coding RNA (295 nucleotides) under Elaeis guineensis (African oil palm). RNAcentral's name for it is "long non-coding RNA (EGUI_LNC051838)". The record is from RNAcentral. Lineage: Eukaryota; Viridiplantae; Streptophyta; Magnoliopsida; Arecales; Arecaceae.